RNAcentral lists this ribosomal RNA (484 nucleotides) under uncultured bacterium. RNAcentral's name for it is "partial 16S ribosomal RNA". It matches the Rfam family "Bacterial small subunit ribosomal RNA", at positions 30 to 507 of the family's 1533-position model. The record is from RNAcentral.
AUUGAACGCUGGCGGCAGGCCUAACACAUGCAAGUCGAGCGGAUGAAGGGAGCUUGCUCCUGGAUUCAGCGGCGGACGGGUGAGUAAUGCCUAGGAAUCUGCCUGGUAGUGGGGGAUAACGUCCGGAAACGGGCGCUAAUACCGCAUACGUCCUGAGGGAGAAAGUGGGGGAUCUUCGGACGUCACGCUAUAAGAUGAGCCUAGGUCGGAUUAGCUAGUUGGUGGGGUAAAGGCCUACCAAGGCGACGAUCCGUAACUGGUCUGAGAGGAUGAUCAGUCACACUGGAACUGAGACACGGUCCAGAGUCCUACGGGAGGCAGCAGUGGGGAAUAUUGGACAAUGGGCGAAAGCCUGAUCCAGCCAUGCCGCGUGUGUGAAGAAGGUCUUCGGAUUGUAAAGCACUUUAAGUUGGGAGGAAGGGCAGUAAGUUAAUACCUUGCUGUUUUGACGUUACCAACAGAAUAAGCACCGGCUAACUUCGUG